GGGGGCGUUUUGGAUUCGACGACGGCUACAAAACCUCCGGUGCAUGCCGAGAUGGUGACCAAUCUCGUUAAUCAAAAGUCGCAAACUUAUAGUUGCCAACGACGACAACUACGCACUAGCUGCUUAAACCCCAGUGUAGUGCCGUUUGACUGGAGCCGUGCUUAUGCGUCCAGAGCUCUUAAUCCCUCGGGAAGCGGAGUGCUCAAAUGUCAUAUCUCAUAGGAUCGUGGAGAAGCUUGUUCGGGGCAGAUCCACUAAAACCUUUACCGAAAUCGCCCAAUGCGUUCCCUGACAGCCGGGUUGCAACGGGUUAAAACUAAUAGGCUGAUCUAAGCAUGUAGAGCCGCAGGCAGCGGGCUGGCGGACGCGGGUUCAAAUCCCGCCGCCUCCACCA
This 394-nucleotide transfer-messenger RNA is filed under the name Porticoccaceae. Its description in RNAcentral is "HTCC2207 sp001438605 Standard tmRNA". It matches the Rfam family "transfer-messenger RNA". From Rfam's summary of the family: Bacterial tmRNA, also known as 10Sa RNA or SsrA, is named for its dual tRNA and mRNA-like properties. Its role is to liberate the mRNA from a stalled ribosome. RNAcentral also lists the same sequence under 3 other names. Lineage: Bacteria; Pseudomonadati; Pseudomonadota; Gammaproteobacteria; Cellvibrionales. The record is from RNAcentral.